Stylophora pistillata is the source of this 1040-nucleotide long non-coding RNA. RefSeq lists it as uncharacterized. The record is from RefSeq and is a predicted model, not a curated record. NCBI's taxonomy places the organism in Eukaryota, Metazoa, Cnidaria, Anthozoa, Scleractinia, Pocilloporidae.
CCGGUAUAUCGGGCACAAGCAUGUCAAUGAGCCAGGAUAUGGAGAACACAAAAUGCUAUCGCAAAAGAGAGAAAAACUGUUUUGAUUCUCAUGAACGAGGUCAUGCGAAGUGGAUGGACUCGGAGCUGCACCGAAUUUGAGGCGAAAUUAGGCACCUUCGGCCCUUACCGUCUCAUAUUGAACACCAAUGUAAACAGAUACCCGGAUGAGGGUCGUACGCGAUAUCACGAGCAGGACGGGGAAAAGCUGUGCGGCCCCGCGAGAUGCAAGCAAAGCAGAAAGAGAGUAGCACUUAAAUGAUAAAAUGCCUAUUGGCGGAAAAUGUAUGACCCUUGGUUAUAACCCCGAGCCAAAUGUUUUCUGUUCGGCGUUCCCACUCAGUCAAUAAGUAUUGUGUAAAAUACGUACAUAUCAGUUUCCAGUGCUAAAUAGUUAAUAAUCAUCGGCAACAUAAUGAUGAGAGUAGACGUGAAUCAUGACGUGUAUUUUAGUUGCUGGUGCUUCCAAAUGACCAGGGGGACCCUUAGUUCUUAUUAAAAAUCAAUUGAAAUAUUUUGGCGAAAGUCUCGCUCAGAGGAAAGAUCUAAUGAAGGAUUGAAACAUCCUCUGUCAGAAUACUUUGCACGAUAAGUAUGUAAUCGUUUUUGGUGACCAUGCCACAUUCAUUUCGCUGUCCAUUUCAAAACGAUAUGAUUGUGCCAACGUCCAGAAGUUCCUGUAGCUUUUAAGUUUCCACUUUAAUGGCCGGAAAUUGUAACCGACGGGCUGUUUGGCCGAGAGCUGGUCUCUGCGCAUUGAUCACUGUCCUGCCAUUUAAUAAAUUUCUUAUCCUUAACACAUUUGCGUUGGAUUGCUCAGGUUUUAGUUUUCAUGCGUUCCUGAGUACUUUUCUUUUGAAUAAAGAUUACAGUACACAACAACCAGAAUUUUUAUCACACGUUUGGUGGUGGCAUUAUGGUGGGUGAUCUCUUGGUCGUUAGGUACCUACGGUUGACUGUUUUUUUUCCCUAUCGUGUUUAACAAAUUCAUGAGAGUUUAAG